Molecule: ribosomal RNA, 422 nt
Filed under: uncultured bacterium
Lineage: Bacteria
Description: partial 16S ribosomal RNA
Rfam family: Bacterial small subunit ribosomal RNA
Source: RNAcentral
AAUCUUCCGCAAUGGACGCAAGUCUGACGGAGCAACGCCGCGUGAGUGAUGAAGGUUUUCGGAUCGUAAAACUCUGUUGUUAGGGAAGAACAAGUAUCGGAGUCACUGCCGGUACCUUGACGGUACCUGAUGAGAAAUCCACGGCCAACUACGUCCCAUCAGCCGCGGUAAUACGCAGGUGGCACGCCUUGUCCGGAUUUAUUGGGCGUAAAGCGGGAGGAGGCGGUCUUUUAAAUCUGAUGUGAAAACUUACAGCGUAACUGUAAGCGGUCAUUGGAAACUGGGAGACUUGAGUGCAGAAGAGGAGGGUGGAAUUCCAUGUGUAGCGGUGAAAUGCGUAGAGAUAUGGAGGAACACCAGUGGCGAAGGCGACUCUCUGGUCUGUAACUGACGCUGAGGCGCGAAAACGUGGGGAUCAAACA